UAACGCGUGGAUAACCUGCCGUAUACAGGGGGAUAACACUUAGAAAUAGGUGCUAAUACCGCAUAAGCGCACGGUUCCGCAUGGAACAGUGUGAAAAACUCCGGUGGUAUACGAUGGAUCCGCGUCUGAUUAGCCAGUUGGCGGGGUAACGGCCCACCAAAGCAACGAUCAGUAGCCGGCCUGAGAGGGUGAACGGCCACAUUGGGACUGAGACACGGCCCAAACUCCUACGGGAGGCAGCAGUGGGGAAUAUUGCACAAUGGGGGAAACCCUGAUGCAGCGACGCCGCGUGAGUGAAGAAGUAUUUCGGUACGUAAAGCUCUAUCAGCAGGGAAGAAAAUGACGGUACCUGACUAAGAAGCCCCGGCUAACUACGUGCCAGCAGCCGCGGUAAUACGUAGGGGGCAAGCGUUAUCCGGAUUUACUGGGUGUAAAGGGAGCGUAGACGGCAGCGCAAGUCUGGAGUGAAAUGCCGGGGCCCAACCCCGGAACUGCUUUGGAAACUGUGCAGCUCGAGUGCAGGAGAGGUAAGCGGAAUUCCUAGUGUAGCGGUGAAAUGCGUAGAUAUUAGGAGGAACACCAGUGGCGAAGGCGGCUUACUGGACUGUAACUGACGUUGAGGCUCGAAAGCGUGGGGAGCAAACAGGAUUAGAUACCCUGGUAGUCCACGCCGUAAACGAUGAGUACUAGCUGU
This 694-nucleotide ribosomal RNA is filed under the name uncultured bacterium. Its description in RNAcentral is "bacterial SSU rRNA". It matches the Rfam family "Bacterial small subunit ribosomal RNA", at positions 111 to 823 of the family's 1533-position model. The record is from RNAcentral.